CUGCCCAAGAGACUGGGAUAACACCUGGAAACAGAUGCUAAUACCGGAUAACAACACUAGACGCAUGUCUAGAGUUUGAAAGAUGGUUCUGCUAUCACUCUUGGAUGGACCUGCGGUGCAUUAGCUAGUUGGUAAGGUAACGGCUUACCAAGGCAAUGAUGCAUAGCCGAGUUGAGAGACUGAUCGGCCACAUUGGGACUGAGACACGGCCCAAACUCCUACGGGAGGCAGCAGUAGGGAAUCUUCCACAAUGGACGAAAGUCUGAUGGAGCAACGCCGCGUGAGUGAAGAAGGGUUUCGGCUCGUAAAGCUCUGUUGGUAGUGAAGAAAGAUAGAGGUAGUAACUGGCCUUUAUUUGACGGUAAUUACUUAGAAAGUCACGGCUAACUACGUGCCAGCAGCCGCGGUAAUACGUAGGUGGCAAGCGUUGUCCGGACUUAUUGGGCGUAAAGCGAGUGCAGGCGGUUCAAUAAGUCUGAUGUGAAAGCCUUCGGCUCAACCGGAGAAUUGCAUCAGAAACUGUUGAACUUGAGUGCAGAAGAGGAGAGUGGAACUCCAUGUGUAGCGGUGGAAUGCGUAGAUAUAUGGAAGAACACCAGUGGCGAAGGCGGCUCUCUGGUCUGCAACUGACGCUGAGGCUCGAAAGCAUGGGUAGCGAACAGGAUUAGAUACCCUGGUAGUCCAUGCCGUAAAC
RNAcentral lists this ribosomal RNA (694 nucleotides) under uncultured bacterium. Its description in RNAcentral is "bacterial SSU rRNA". It matches the Rfam family "Bacterial small subunit ribosomal RNA", at positions 126 to 807 of the family's 1533-position model. The record is from RNAcentral.